CAGCCGUAAACUAUGCGCGUUAGGUGUAUCGGUGACCACGAGUUACCGAGGUGCCGAAGGGAAACCGUGAAACGUGCCGCCUGGGAAGUACGGUCGCAAGGCUGAAACUUGAAGGAAUUGGCGGGGGAGCACCACAACAGGUGGAGCCUGCGGUUUAAUUGGACUCAACGCCGGGAAGCUCACCGGAUAGGACAGCAGAAUGAUUGCCGGGCUGAAGACUCUGCAUGACUAGCUGAGAGGAGGUGCAUGGCGUAGACGUCU
This 261-nucleotide ribosomal RNA is filed under the name uncultured archaeon. RNAcentral describes it as "partial 16S ribosomal RNA". It matches the Rfam family "Archaeal small subunit ribosomal RNA", at positions 748 to 1009 of the family's 1478-position model. The record is from RNAcentral.